UAGGGAAUCUUCGGCAAUGGGGGCAACCCUGACCGAGCAACGCCGCGUGAGUGAAGAAGGUUUUCGGAUCGUAAAGCUCUGUUGUAAGAGAAGAACGUGUGUGAGAGUGGAAAGUUCACACAGUGACGGUAACUUACCAGAAAGGACGGCUAACUACGUGUCAG
Molecule: ribosomal RNA, 164 nt
Filed under: uncultured bacterium
Lineage: Bacteria
Description: partial 16S rRNA
Rfam family: Bacterial small subunit ribosomal RNA
Source: RNAcentral